This 104-nucleotide ribosomal RNA is filed under the name Domibacillus epiphyticus. RNAcentral's name for it is "partial 16S ribosomal RNA". It matches the Rfam family "Bacterial small subunit ribosomal RNA", at positions 1 to 99 of the family's 1533-position model. The record is from RNAcentral. Lineage: Bacteria; Bacillati; Bacillota; Bacilli; Caryophanales; Bacillaceae.
CUUUUUGGAGAGUUUGAUCCUGGCUCAGGACGAACGCUGGCGGCGUGCCUAAUACAUGCAAGUCGAGCGGACUUGACAGCGCUUGCUCUGUUCAAGUCCGCGGC